RNAcentral lists this ribosomal RNA (442 nucleotides) under uncultured bacterium. RNAcentral's name for it is "partial 16S ribosomal RNA". It matches the Rfam family "Bacterial small subunit ribosomal RNA", at positions 338 to 795 of the family's 1533-position model. The record is from RNAcentral.
CCUACGGGAGGCAGCAGUGGGGAAUAUUGGGCAAUGGGCGCAAGCCUGACCCAGCAACGCCGCGUGAAGGAAGAAGGCUUUCGGGUUGUAAACUUCUUUUGUCAGGGAAGAGUAGAAGGCGGUACCUGACGAAUAAGCCACGGCUAACUACGGGCCAGCAGCCGCGGUAAUACGUAGGUGGCUAGCGAUGUCCGGAUUUACUGGGUGUAAAGGGCGUAUAGCCGGGUUGACAAGUCAGUUGUGAAAUCCUGAGGCUUAACCGCAGAACUGCAUUGGAAACUGUUGAUCGUGAGUACUGGAGAGGCAGACGGAAUGCGUGGUGUAGCGGUGGAAUGCGUAGAUAUUAGGAGGAACACCAGUGGCGAAGGCGGUCUGCUGGACAGCAACUGACGGUGAGGCGCGAAAGCGUGGGGAGCAAACAGGAGUAGAUACCCCAGUAGUC